GAUGAACGCUGGCGGCGUGCCUAAUACAUGCAAGUCGAGCGAACAGACGAGGAGCUUGCUCCUUUGACGUUAGCGGCGGACGGGUGAGUAACACGUGGGUAACCUACCUAUAAGACUGGGAUAACUUCGAGAAACCGGAGCUAAUACCGGAUAAUAUUUCGAACCGCAUGGUUCGAUAGUGAAAGAUGGCUUUGCUAUCACUUAUAGAUGGACCUGCGCCGUAUUAGCUAGUUGGUAAGGUAACGGCUUACCAAGGCAACGAUACGUAGCCGACCUGAGAGGGUGAUCGGCCACACUGGAACUGAGACACGGUCCAGACUCCUACGGGAGGCAGCAGUAGGGAAUCUUCCGCAAUGGGCGAAAGCCUGACGGAGCAACGCCGCGUGAGUGAUGAAGGUCUUCGGAUCGUAAAACUCUGUUAUUAGGGAAGAACAAACGUGUAAGUAACUGUGCACGUCUUGACGGUACCUAAUCAGAAAGCCACGGCUAACUACGUG
RNAcentral lists this ribosomal RNA (497 nucleotides) under uncultured bacterium. RNAcentral's name for it is "partial 16S ribosomal RNA". It matches the Rfam family "Bacterial small subunit ribosomal RNA", at positions 28 to 507 of the family's 1533-position model. The record is from RNAcentral.